ACGAAGGGGGCAAGCGUUGUUCGGAAUGACUGGGCGUAAAGGGCGCGUAGGCGGUGCGUUGCGUCAGAUGUGAAAUCCCCGGGCUCAACCUGGGAAUGGCAUUUGAUACGGGCGUACUGGAAUCCGUGAGAGGUUGGUGGAAUUCCCAGUGUAGAGGUGAAAUUCGUAGAUAUUGGGAAGAACACCAGUGGCGAAGGCGGCCAACUGGCACGGUAUUGACGCUGAGGCGCGAAAGCGUGGGGAGCAAACAGGAUUAGAUACCCUGGUAGUCCACGCCGUAAACGAUGUGUGCUAGCCGUCGGUCAGCUUGCUGUUCGGUGGCGCAGCUAACGCGAUAAGCACACCGCCUGGGGAGUACGGUCGCAAGAUUA
Molecule: ribosomal RNA, 371 nt
Filed under: uncultured bacterium
Lineage: Bacteria
Description: bacterial SSU rRNA
Rfam family: Bacterial small subunit ribosomal RNA
Source: RNAcentral